RNA transcript from Panicum virgatum (switchgrass), 3502 nucleotides. It is a transcript of the gene named protein translocase subunit SECA1, chloroplastic-like, with no coding region annotated. The transcript has 21 exons. NCBI's taxonomy places the organism in Eukaryota, Viridiplantae, Streptophyta, Magnoliopsida, Poales, Poaceae. The record is from RefSeq and is a predicted model, not a curated record.
CGCCCCAGCCGUUACCCACCACCCAGAGCACGCGGCGGCUUGUCGCCGUGCGCGCCACUGCCGCCACCGCGCCGGAGAGAAGCCAUCCAGCGUGCGCCAUGGCCAUGGCGCCUCACGCCUCGGCGGCCGCCGCCCCCUCACUGCGCUUUCCCCACCCUUCGUCGGCCACCGGCCUCUCCUCGCCUCUCGCUGGGGGCUGCGGCGGAUUCCGGGUUCAGUUCCACCCCACCCGGCGGGGCUGGGGUAUGCAGGGGCGCCGGGAUGGUGGCUCCCACGUGGCGCGCGUGGGGGGUUUUCUGGGCGGCGUAUUCGGCGGCGGUGGCCGCGACGACGGGGAGUCGACGCGGAAGAAGUACGCGGACACCGUGGCGCGCAUCAACGCCAUGGAGCCCGAGGUCUCCGCGCUUUCCGACGCCGACCUGCGAGCGCGCACUGCCGCGCUCCAGGAGCGGGCGCGCGCCGGAGAGUCCCUUGACUUCCUCCUCCCCGAAGCAUUUGCUGUUGUGAGGGAGGCUUCCAAGAGAGUUCUAGGCCUUCGUCCUUUUGAUGUUCAGUUGAUUGGUGGCAUGGUUCUUCACAAGGGGGAGAUUGCAGAAAUGAAGACAGGAGAGGGGAAGACGCUUGUGGCUAUUCUGCCAGCAUACUUAAAUGCUUUGAGUGGGAAGGGAGUGCAUGUUGUCACUGUAAAUGAUUAUCUUGCAAGACGUGAUUGUGAAUGGGUUGGUCAAGUUCCCCGAUUUCUAGGACUGCAGGUUGGCUUAAUUCAACAGAACAUGACACCUGAGCAGAGGAGGGAAAAUUACUCAUGUGAUAUUACUUACGUCACAAACAGUGAGCUUGGCUUUGAUUAUCUAAGAGAUAACCUUGCAAUGACUGUAGAUGAGCUUGUCUUGAGGAACUUCAGUUACUGUGUGAUAGAUGAAGUUGAUUCAAUUCUUAUUGAUGAAGCAAGAACCCCACUUAUAAUAUCAGGCCUAGCUGAAAAGCCAAGUGAUCGGUAUUACAAAGCGGCAAAGAUAGCUGAAGCUUUUGAGCGAGACAUUCAUUACACUGUUGAUGAAAAGCAGAGAAUUGUUUUACUUACAGAGCAAGGCUAUGCUGACGCUGAAGAAAUACUGGACAUAAAUGAUCUAUACGAUCCUCGUGAACAGUGGGCUUCAUACGUUCUAAAUGCAAUCAAAGCUAAGGAGCUUUUUCUUAGAGAUGUCAAUUACAUAGUUCGUAGCAAGGAAGUGCUUAUUGUGGAUGAGUUCACUGGCAGAGUUAUGGCGGGCAGGCGAUGGAGUGACGGUCUCCAUCAAGCAAUUGAAGCAAAAGGUGUACCUAUACAAAAUUAAACAAUAACUCUGGCAUCAAUAAGUUACCAAAACUUCUUUCUUAAGUUUCCCAAACUCUGGCAUGACUGGAACUGCAGCUACAGAGAGCCAGGAGUUCGAGAGCAUCUAUAAACUAAAAGUCACUGUCGUUCCAACAAACAAGCCAAUGAUACGGAAGGACGACUCAGAUGUUGUUUUUAGAGCAACAAAUGGAAAAUGGCGUGCUGUUCUUGUGGAGAUAUCGAGAAUGAAUAAAGUUGGGCGUCUUGUGCUUGUUGGUUCCACUAGUGUUGAGCAAAGUGAAUCUUUAUCAGAACAAUUGCGUGAAGCUGGCAUUUCUCAUGAGGUCCUGAAUGCUAAGCCAGAGAAUGUUGAGAGGGAGGCAGAAAUCGUCGCUCAGAGUGGACGCCUUGGUGCUGUGACAAUUGCCACCAACAUGGCAGGACGUGGAACUGAUAUUAUCCUUGGUGGCAAUGCAGAAUUCAUGGCCAGGUUGAAGUUGCGUGAGAUCCUUAUGCCAAGAGUUGUCAAUCCAAUAGAUGGUGUCAUUGUAUCAAAGAAGCAGAUGCCACCAAGAAAGACAUGGAAGACAAACGAAAGCUUGUUCCCAUGUGAACUUUCAAAAGAAACAUUAUCAUCUGUCAAAGAUGCUGUUGAAGUGGCUGUUAAAGAAUGGGGAGAGAAAUCAUUAUCUGAGCUGGAAGCAGAAGAGCGGUUGUCCUACUCAUGUGAGAAGGGACCAACACGUGAUGACGUAAUAGCAAAUUUGAGAAAUGCAUUUAUGAAGAUAGUAGAUGAAUAUAAAGUCUACACAGAGGAGGAAAAGAAGAAGGUCAUUACAGCAGGUGGGCUUCAUGUAGUAGGGACAGAGCGCCAUGAAUCACGCAGAAUUGACAAUCAGCUCCGAGGUCGAAGUGGCAGGCAAGGGGAUCCUGGAAGCUCUCGCUUCUUUCUUAGUCUUGAAGAUAAUAUCUUUCGGAUCUUUGGAGGUGACAGGAUACAGGGUCUGAUGCAAGCCUUCAGAGUUGAGGAUCUUCCUAUUGAAUCAAAAAUGUUAACAAGGGCCCUAGAUGAAGCUCAGAGGAAAGUUGAGAACUACUUUUUUGACAUCAGGAAGCAAUUAUUUGAGUAUGACGAGGUGUUGAAUAGCCAGAGAGAUCGUGUAUAUGCAGAAAGAAGACGUGCCCUUGCUUCUGAUAGUCUUGAGUCGCUUAUUGUGGAAUAUCCUGAAUUAACAAUGGAUGACAUAUUAGAGGCAAAUAUAGGCCCUGAUACUCCAAAGGAAAAUUGGGAGCUCAGCAAGCUUAUAGCUAAACUACAGCAGUAUUGCUAUCUUUAGGAUGACUUGACACCAGAAUUGUUGGAGAGCAAAACUUCAAGCUAUGAGGAUUUGCGGGAGUAUCUUCGUAAGUGAGGACGUGAAGCAUACUUCCAAAAAAACUGUUAGUUGUUUGAAAUUGUGGAGAAGCAAGCUCCUAGCUUGAUGAAAGAAGCUGAGCGGUUCCUAAUUUUAAGCAAUAUUGAUAGGCUCUGGAAAGAACACCUGCAGGCACUAAAGUUUGUGCAACAAGCUGUUGGUUUAAGGGGUUAUGCCCAACGAGAUCCCCUUAUUGAGUACAAACUUGAGGGAUACAACCUGUUCUUGGACAUGAUGGCUCAAAUCCGGAGAAAUGUUAUUUAUUCAGUAUAUCAGUUCAAACCAGUGGUGAAGAACCAAGAAGAGGAAAAACCCCAGAAUAAGGGGUCCAAAAAGGAAGUGGACAAAGGUGCUAAUAAACUUGGUGCUGCCCAAGCUGCAUCAUGAUCGACCUGUGAGAAAUGUUGCGUUGUGCAAAGUUGCACUUGGUGGUGGCAAUCUCCAUGUGUAUACCCUCUCUUACACUGUAUCACCCUAUGUGAUGAUUGACAUUUCAGUGCAGGAGAAAUGUGAAGAGCAAUUCAAUGUGGCAGCUUAUACUGGGACACAGCUUCAAUAUGUAGCUUUUUACUUGAAUUGUGGGUCCUGCGGGCAAAUUUUGCAUGGCAACUGAGCACACUGUUCAUAGUAUGAAUAGCAUCACAAUUUAGUAGUUGUACAUAAAUAGAAUUUGCCAUAGGAAGAGUUUUGUUCCUGUACCCACGGUUUUGUAUAAUGUAGUAAUCCAUUCUUGCUGGCAGAAAUCACAUCUUUUGCAGGGUUAACAUGA